AAACAUGCAAGUCGAGCGGAAACGAUCCUAGCUUGCUAGGAGGCGUCGAGCGGCGGACGGGUGAGUAACACGUGAGAAUCUGCCCAUUAGUGGGGGAUAACCUGGGGAAACCCAGGCUAAUACCGCAUAAUCCCUACGGGGGAAAGCAGGGGACCUUCGGGCCUUGUGCUGAUGGAUGAGCUCGCGUCGGAUUAGCUUGUUGGUGAGGUAAUGGCUCACCAAGGCGACGAUCCGUAGCUGGUCUUAGAGGAUGAUCAGCCACACCGGGACUGAGACACGGCCCGGACUCCUACGGGAGGCAGCAGUGGGGAAUCUUGGACAAUGGGGGCAACCCUGAUCCAGCCAUGCCGCGUGUGUGAAGAAGGCCUUCGGGUUGUAAAGCACUUUCAGUAGGGAGGAAGGCUUAUCCUUAAUACGGAUGAGUACUUGACGUUACCUACAGAAGAAGCACCGGCUAAUUUCGUGCCAGCAGCCGCGGUAAUACGAAAGGUGCAAGCGUUAAUCGGAAUUACUGGGCGUAAAGCGCGCGUAGGCGGUUUGCUAAGUCAGAUGUGAAAGCCCCGGGCUCAACCUGGGAACUGCAUUUGAAACUGGCAGGCUAGAAUGCAGUAGAGGGAGGUGGAAUUUCCGGUGUAGCGGUGAAAUGCGUAGAGAUCGGAAGGAACACCAGU
This 671-nucleotide ribosomal RNA is filed under the name uncultured bacterium. RNAcentral's name for it is "bacterial SSU rRNA". It matches the Rfam family "Bacterial small subunit ribosomal RNA", at positions 51 to 713 of the family's 1533-position model. The record is from RNAcentral.